This 632-nucleotide long non-coding RNA is filed under the name Callithrix jacchus (white-tufted-ear marmoset). RNAcentral describes it as "lncRNA (ENSCJAG00000079003.1)". Lineage: Eukaryota; Metazoa; Chordata; Mammalia; Primates; Cebidae. The record is from RNAcentral.
CCUCAGAAACCCUGAGACAAAGUCAGAAAGAUCUGGAAAGACCUGCCAGAGGAAAUCUGCCACCCCUCUGGACAAGGAGCCUUCAUCUACAUAAAAGUGGGCUGUCACCAUGCAGCGAGGCUGCCUAACAUGAUGAGGCAAAUUCUGAAAUGAGGGAAGGAAGCCUGAGAUUUGAGCCCCAGCCCUGCCACUUACUACCUGUAAGCCCAGGCCCGGGUGGUGUGGGACCCCCUCCGGAGAGGUGUAUGCACCUCCCUAGAGCUUACCCAGCCGGGUGCCUGUUCCUUGAUGAGAAUCCACAUGGUGUUGACCUCAGGCUUCUUCAUGGUUCACUCUGUGGCUGGUGGCAUUGGAUCUGCAUCAAGGUGGUCUCGAGGAUGGUCUUCUGAAGGAACUUAGGUGUCUUGGGUCCUGGAAGAUGGGUGACACACGGAUCUAUUUUUUUCCUAUGGUUAUAGACCCUUUCAGCACAACCUUUGUGGCCUUCAGAGCUUUUGUCUUGGUUUCAGUUUUGGGAAGGGCUGGGGCUUCCUUCUUGCUUUCAGCACCAUAUUUGCAGAAGGGAGUGUCUAUCUGACGGCCUGGUGUAGCAGUGCCAUCAGGAGCUGGUCUUCAGUGGAGAAAAUGUACUG